This 406-nucleotide ribosomal RNA is filed under the name uncultured bacterium. RNAcentral's name for it is "partial 16S ribosomal RNA". It matches the Rfam family "Bacterial small subunit ribosomal RNA", at positions 30 to 526 of the family's 1533-position model. The record is from RNAcentral.
AUUGAACGCUGGCGGCAGGCCUAACACAUGCAAGUCGAACGAGUGGCGGACGGGUGAGUAAUGUCUGGGAAACUGCCUGAUGGAGGGGGAUAACUACUGGAAACGGUAGCUAAUACCGCAUACCAUCAGAUGUGCCCCGAUGGGAUUCGCUAGUUGGUGGGGUAACGGCUUACCAAGGCGACGAUCCCUAGCUGGUCUGAGAGGAUGACCAGCCACACUGUAACGGAGACACGUGCCAGACUCCUACGGGAGGCAGGAGUGGGGAAUAGUGCACAAUGGGCGCUAGCCGGAUGCAGCCAUGCCGCGUGUAGGAAGAAGGCCGUCGGGUUGCAAAGUACUUUCAGCGGGGAGUCGUUACCCGCAGAAGAAGCACCGGCUAACUCCGUGCCAGCAGCCGCGGUAAUUC